AUGGGUGGGGUCGAGAGAGUGGGGAGGGGGCACGGCCGCGCCUCCCUUCCCGGGAUUGGCUCCUGCGCCCCGCCAAGGGGGCGCGCCCUGCGGCAGGGGGGCUGCUGGGCGGAAGCGGAAGCAGCGCGCCAGCCUCGCGUGUCCCCGCAGCCACCCGGGAGCCCUGCGUGUGCACCCCCGCGGCCACCUGGGGGCCCUGCGUGCGCAUCCCCGCGGCCACCUGGGGGCCCUGCGUGUGCGCCCCCGCGGCCACCUGGAGGCCCUGCGUGCGCAUCCCCGCGGUCACCUGGGGGCCCUGCGUGCGCACCCCCGCGGCCACCUGGGGGCCCUGCGUGCGCAUCCCCGCGGUCACCUGGGGGCCCUGCGUGCGCAUCCCCGCGGCCACCUGGGGGCCCUGCGUGUGCACCCCCGCGGUCACCUGAAGGCCCUGCGUUCGCAUCCCCGCGGUCACCUGGGGGCCCUGCGUGUGCACCCCCGCGGCCACCUGGGGGCCCUGCGUGCGCAUCCCCGCGGUCACCUGGGGGCCCUGCGUGCGCAUCCCCGCGGCCACCUGGGGGCCCUGCGUGUGCACCCCCGCGGUCACCUGAAGGCCCUGCGUUCGCAUCCCCGCGGUCACCUGGGGGCCCUGCGUGUGCACCCCCGCGGCCACCUGGGGGCCCUGCGUGCUCAUCCCCGCGAUCACCUGGGGGCCCUGCGUGCGCGCCCCCGAGGCCACCUGGGGGCCCUGCGUGCGCGCCCCCGCGGUCACCUGGGGGCCCUGCGUGCUCAUCCCCGCGGUCACCUGGGGGCCCUGCGUGCACAUCCCCGCGGUCACCUGGGGGCCCUCCGUGCGCGCCCCCGCGGUCACCUGGGGGCCCUGCGUGCACAUCCCCGCGGUCACCUGGGGGCCCUGCGUGCGCGCCCCCGAGGCCACCUGGGGGCCCUGCGUGCACAUCCCCGCGGUCACCUGGGGGGGCCCUGCGUGCGCAUCCCCGCGGCCAGCUGGGGGCCCCCACAGUACCAACUGUGCUCCCCGCGCAAAGGCACAACCUGCUCCCGGUCCCUAGCAGCGGGGUCUCUGCCUUCCCUGGAGAGGAAGGAGGAGCUGUGGGGGGCGCAAACAGACGGUGA
RNAcentral lists this long non-coding RNA (1110 nucleotides) under Canis lupus familiaris (dog). RNAcentral describes it as "lncRNA (ENSCAFG00845023742.1)". The record is from RNAcentral. Lineage: Eukaryota; Metazoa; Chordata; Mammalia; Carnivora; Canidae.